Molecule: ribosomal RNA, 774 nt
Filed under: uncultured Neocallimastigales
Lineage: Eukaryota; Fungi; Neocallimastigomycota; Neocallimastigomycetes; Neocallimastigales
Description: partial large subunit ribosomal RNA
Rfam family: Eukaryotic large subunit ribosomal RNA
Source: RNAcentral
AGAGAGAGACAUGCGCGCAUAUCAAUAAGCGGAGGAAAAGAAACUAACAAGGAUUCCCCUAGUAACGGCGAGUGAAGCGGGAAGAGCUCAAAUUUGAAAUCUUAAAGGGUUUCCCUUUACGAAUUGUAGUUUAAAGAAGUGUUUUCUGUUGAGGUUUUGGUAAAAGUUCUUUGGAAUAGGACAUCAUAGAGGGUGAGAAUCCCGUAUUUGACCUUUACUUUCAACUUUGUGAUACACUUUCAAAGAGUCGGAUUGUUUGGGAAUGCAGUCCAAAAUGGGUGGUAAAUUUCAUCUAAAGCUAAAUAUUGGCGAGAGACCGAUAGCGAACAAGUACCGUGAGGGAAAGAUGAAAAGAACUUUGAAAAGAGAGUUAAACAGUACGUGAAAUUGUCAAAAGGGAAGCGUUUGACACCAGUGUUGUUUUUCUGAAAAUCAAUUAAAGAACUGUUUAUGCUAAGUUGUUUAGACUUUAUCAGCUAUCUGUUUAGUUUUGAGCUUUUCUUUAAUGCACUUUUCAGUUAACAAGUCAACAUCAAUUUCUUUUGCUGUAAAGAAGCUUGAGGAAGGUGGCUUGAGAUUCGUCUUAAGUGUUUAUAGCCUCUUGCCUAUGCAGUCGGAGAGAUUGAGGUCUGCAGCGUAGAUCCUUCGGGGCUAAAUGCAUUUGUGCUAAGUUAUAGCAUUUUAUAGACAACUUGUUGACUAUGAUUUGUCUUGUAGCUUACUCGCUUAUGUUAUUUUACCUACGCUUAGGAUGUUGACGCAUGAGAUAUACGC